This 704-nucleotide ribosomal RNA is filed under the name Streptomyces sp. CNY-409. RNAcentral describes it as "bacterial SSU rRNA". It matches the Rfam family "Bacterial small subunit ribosomal RNA", at positions 62 to 780 of the family's 1533-position model. The record is from RNAcentral. Lineage: Bacteria; Bacillati; Actinomycetota; Actinomycetes; Kitasatosporales; Streptomycetaceae.
UCGUAACGAUGAAGCCCUUUCGGGGGUGGAUUAGUGGCGAACGGGUGAGUAACACGUGGGCAAUCUGCCCUGCACUUCGGGACAAGCCCUGGAAACGGGGUCUAAUACCGGAUACAACUCCCUUGGGCAUCUUUGGGGGUGGAAAGCUUCGGUGGUGCAGGAUGAGCCCGCGGCCUAUCAGCUUGUUGGUGGGGUGAUGGCCUACCAAGGCGACGACGGGUAGCCGGCCUGAGAGGGCGACCGGCCACACUGGGACUGAGACACGGCCCAGACUCCUACGGGAGGCAGCAGUGGGGAAUAUUGCACAAUGGGCGGAAGCCUGAUGCAGCGACGCCGCGUGAGGGAUGACGGCCUUCGGGUUGUAAACCUCUUUCAGCAGGGAAGAAGCGAGAGUGACGGUACCUGCAGAAGAAGCACCGGCUAACUACGUGCCAGCAGCCGCGGUAAUACGUAGGGUGCGAGCGUUGUCCGGAAUUAUUGGGCGUAAAGAGCUCGUAGGCGGCCUGUCACGUCGGAUGUGAAAGCCCGGGGCUUAACCCUGGGUCUGCAUUCGAUACGGGCAGGCUAGAGUUCGGUAGGGGAGAUCGGAAUUCCUGGUGUAGCGGUGAAAUGCGCAGAUAUCAGGAGGAACACCGGUGGCGAAGGCGGAUCUCUGGGCCGAUACUGACGCUGAGGAGCGAAAGCAUGGGGAGCGAACAGGAUUA